CGAGUCGCAACACGGUGACGUGGAGCUAAUCUCUUAAAGCCGGUCCCAGUCCGGAUUGGAGUCUGCAACUCGACUCCAUGAAGUUGGAAUCGCUAGUAAUCCCGAAUCAGAAUGUCGGGGUGAAUACGUUCCCGGGUGUUGUACACACCGCCCGUCACGCCAUGGGAGUCUGUAAUACCUGAAGUCGGUAGCCUAACCAGCAAUGGAGGGGGGCCGCCCAGGGUAGGACAGGUGACUGGGGUGAAGUCGUAACAAGGUAAC
Molecule: ribosomal RNA, 261 nt
Filed under: uncultured bacterium
Lineage: Bacteria
Description: partial 16S ribosomal RNA
Rfam family: Bacterial small subunit ribosomal RNA
Source: RNAcentral